Molecule: ribosomal RNA, 433 nt
Filed under: uncultured bacterium
Lineage: Bacteria
Description: partial 16S ribosomal RNA
Rfam family: Bacterial small subunit ribosomal RNA
Source: RNAcentral
AACGAACGCUGGCGGCAUGCCUAACACAUGCAAGUCGAACGAAGUCUUCGGACUUAGUGGCGCACGGGUGCGUAACGCGUGGGAAUCUGCCCUUGGGUACGGAAUAACUCAGAGAAAUUUGUGCUAAUACCGUAUAAUGUCUUCGGACCAAAGAUUUAUCGCCCAAGGAUGAGCCCGCGUAAGAUUAGCUAGUUGGUGGGGUAAAAGCCUACCACGGCGAGGAUCUUUAGCUGGUCUGAGAGGAUGAUCAGCCACACUGGGACUGAGACACGGCCCAGACUCCUACGGGAGGCAGCAGUGGGGAAUAUUGGACUAUGGGCGAAAGCCUGAUCCAGCAAGGCCGCGUGAGUGAUGAAGGCCCUAGGGUUGUAAAGCUCUUUUACCAGGGAUGAUAAUGACAGUACCUGGAGAAUAAGCGCCGGCUAACUCCGUG